Molecule: ribosomal RNA, 497 nt
Filed under: uncultured bacterium
Lineage: Bacteria
Description: partial 16S ribosomal RNA
Rfam family: Bacterial small subunit ribosomal RNA
Source: RNAcentral
GAUGAACGCUGGCGGCGUGCCUAAUACAUGCCAGUCGAGCGAACGGACGAGAAGCUUGCUUCUCUGAUGCUAGCGGCGGACGGGUGAGUAACACGUGGAUAACCUACCUAUAAGACUGGGAUAACUUCGGGAAACCGGAGCUAAUACCGGAUAAUAUUUUGAACCGCAUGGUUCAAAAGUGAAAGACGGUCUUGCUGUCACUUAUAGAUGGAUCCGCGCUGCAUUAGCUAGUUGGUAAGGUAACGGCUUACCAAGGCAACGAUGCAUAGCCGACCUGAGAGGGUGAUCGGCCACACUGGAACUGAGACACGGUCCAGACUCCUACGGGAGGCAGCAGUAGGGAAUCUUCCGCAAUGGGCGAAAGCCUGACGGAGCAACGCCGCGUGAGUGGUGAAGGUCUUCGGAUCGUAAAACUCUGUUAUUAGGGAAGAACAUAUGUGUAAGUAACUGUGCACAUCUUGACGGUACCUAAUCAGAAAGCCACGGCUAACUACGUG